RNAcentral lists this ribosomal RNA (492 nucleotides) under uncultured bacterium. Its description in RNAcentral is "partial 16S ribosomal RNA". It matches the Rfam family "Bacterial small subunit ribosomal RNA", at positions 29 to 507 of the family's 1533-position model. The record is from RNAcentral.
AGUGAACGCUGGCGGUAGGCCUAACACAUGCAAGUCGAACGGCAGCACAGUAAGAGCUUGCUCUUACGGGUGUCGAGUGGCGGACGGGUGAGGAAUACAUCGGAUUCUACUUUUUCGUGGGGGAUUACGUAGGGCAACUUACGCUAAUACCGCAUACUACCUACGGGUGAAAGCAGGGGAUCUUCGGACCUUGCGCGAUUGAAUGAGCCGAUGUCGGAUUAGCUAGUUGGCGGGGUAAAGGCCCACCAAGGCGACGAUCCGUAGCUGAUCUGAGAGGGUGAUCAGCCACACUGGAACUGAGACACGGUCCAGACUCCUACGGGAGGCAGCAGUGGGGAAUAUUGGACAAUGGGCGCAAGCCUGAUCCAGCCAUACCGCGUGAGUGAAGAAGGCCUUCGGGUUGUAAAGCCCUUUUGUUGGGAAAGAAAAGCAGCAGGUUAAUACCCCGCUGUUCUGACGGUACCCAAAGAAUAAGCACCGGCUAACUUCGUG